AGAGUUUGAUCCUGGCUCAGGAUGAACGCUGGCGGUCUGCUUAACACAUGCAAGUCGAACGGAGGUAGAAAUACCUUAGUGGCGGACGGGUGAGUAACGCGUGAGAAUCUGCCAAAAGGACGGGGACAACAGGGGGAAACCGCUGCUAAAACCCGAUGUGCCGGAAGGUAAAAAAUUUAUUGCCUUUUGAUGAGCUCGCGUCAGAUUAGCUAGUUGGUGAGGUAAAGGCUCACCAAGGCGACGAUCUGUAGCUGGUCUGAGAGGACGACCAGCCACACUGGGACUGAGACACGGCCCAGACUCCUACGGGAGGCAGCAGUGGGGAAUUUUCCGCAAUGGGCGAAAGCCUGACGGAGCCAGACCGCGUGGGGGACGAAGGCUCUUGGGUUGUAAACCCCUUUUCUCAGGGAAGAAAAAAAUGACGGUACCUGAGGAAUAAGCAUCGGCUAACUCCGUGCCAGCAGCCGCGGUAAGACGGAGGAUGCAAGCGUUAUCCGGAAUGAUUGGGCGUAAAGCGUCCGCAGGUGGCUAUUCAAGUCUGCUGUCAAAGAGCAAGGCUCAACCUUGUCAAGGCAGUGGAAACUGAAAGGCUAGAGUGUGGUAGGGGUAGAGGGAAUUCCCAGUGUAGCGGUGAAAUGCGUAGAGAUUGGGAAGAACACCGGUGGCGAAGCGCUCUCUGGACCUGCACUGACACUGAGGGACGAAAGCUAGGGGAGCGAAUGGGAUUAGAUACCCCAGUAGUCCUAGCCGUAAACGAUGGAAACUAGGUGUGGCCUGUAUCGACCCGGGCCGUGCCGUAGCUAACGCGUUAAGUUUCCCGCCUGGGGAGUACGCACGCAAGUGUGAAACUCAAAGGAAUUGACGGGGGCCCGCACAAGCGGUGGAGUAUGUGGUUUAAUUCGAUGCGACGCGAAGAACCUUACCAGGACUUGACAUGUCGCGAACCCCUUUGAAAGGAGGGGGUGCCUUAGGGAGCGCGAACACAGGUGGUGCAUGGCUGUCGUCAGUUCGUGUCGUGAGAUGUUGGGUUAAGUCCCGCAACGAGCGCAACCCUCGUCCUUAGUUGCCAUCAUUAAGUUGGGAACUCUAGGGAGACUGCCGGUGACAAACCGGAGGAAGGUGGGGAUGACGUCAAGUCAGCAUGCCCCUUACGUCCUGGGCGACACACGUACUACAAUGGUUGGGACAGAGGGCAGCCAGACUGCGAAGUCGAGCUAAUCCCGUAAACCCAGCCUCAGUUCAGAUCGCAGGCUGCAACUCGCCUGCGUGAAGGAGGAAUCGCUAGUAAUCGCAGGUCAGCAUACUGCGGUGAAUCCGUUCCCGGGCCUUGUACACACCGCCCGUCACACCAUGGGAGUUGGCCACGCCCGAAGUCGUUACUCUAACCCGCAAGGGAGGAGGACGCCGAAGGCAGGGCUGAUGACUGGGGUGAAGUCGUAACAAGGUAGCCGUACCGGAAGGUGUGGCUGGAUCACCUCCUUUAUAGGGAGACCCGCUUCAUCUGUCAUUAAGACAGAGAGAAGAUAUCCCGAGGUCGUGACCGGGUGAAGAAUCAAGGCUUUCAAACUAUUAAACGGUUCAGAAAAUGGGCUAUUAGCUCAGGUGGUUAGAGCGCACCCCUGAUAAGGGUGAGGUCCCUGGUUCGAGUCCAGGAUGGCCCACCUGAAUAGAAGCGAGAAAAGAGGAAAAACACCUCAAGACAAACUUCUCUAGUGGGGGUAUAGCUCAGUUGGUAGAGCGCUGCCUUUGCAAGGCAGAUGUCAGCGGUUCGAGUCCGCUUACCUCCACUCAACCAACAGCAAAACAGCCACUGCAAGGCCCUAAAAAAAGUCAGCUCGUCAUUGCCAAAUCAAAGAAAAAGCGGUUAGAAUAAGAAGCCGCUCAAUGAAAAGGCAAAGCGCCGAGCAGCGGAAAAAAAUUCAGCAACUGAACUUGAAACAAAAACAAGCCAGCCUGCUGGAGGAAAUUCCAGUCAGAACCUUGAAAACUGCAUAGCAACAAGUCAGGUAGAAAGUGUCAGGCAAUUAGCAAAGCACAGCUCUAAAGGUAGUGCCGAGUCAAUUGCCACACAGGCAAUCAAAGAAAAGAUCGUGGUCAAGCUACAAAGGGCUGACGGUGGAUACCUAGGCACACAGAGGCGAAG
This 2143-nucleotide ribosomal RNA is filed under the name Microcoleus sp. LSB13. RNAcentral's name for it is "bacterial SSU rRNA". The stretch from base 1 to 1482 matches the Rfam family "Bacterial small subunit ribosomal RNA". The record is from RNAcentral. Lineage: Bacteria; Bacillati; Cyanobacteriota; Cyanophyceae; Oscillatoriales; Microcoleaceae.